GGAAGACUCAUCGAAAACUACCGUCGGAGUCUAUUCCAGUAAAGAUCAUGAUGCAAGGAAGUGAAGAUCAUGCAGAGAGACUUUCUUGGAAGGGAAAAGAGAAUGUGGGUGGCCAGAGUCCCAUUUUUCAUCAAGAAGUCGGAAAACCCGCAAGGAACAACUCUACGCGUGAUCUGUGAAGAAGUUUGGCCGAGACCUCAACCCGAAGGCGGAGAUCCGAGAGUCGUCCAAAAACGGGACCUAAUUUAGAGAAAUCAGUAUUUUUGGACACCUC
This is a long non-coding RNA of Cucurbita moschata (crookneck pumpkin), 274 nucleotides long. RefSeq lists it as uncharacterized. NCBI's taxonomy places the organism in Eukaryota, Viridiplantae, Streptophyta, Magnoliopsida, Cucurbitales, Cucurbitaceae. The record is from RefSeq and is a predicted model, not a curated record. The transcript has 3 exons.